UAGGGAAUCUUCGGCAAUGGACGAAAGUCUGACCGAGCAACGCUGCGUGAUUGAAGAAGGUUUUCGGAUCGUAAAACUCUGUUGUUAGAGAAGAACAAGGACGUUAGUAACUGAACGUCCCCUGACGGUAUCUAACCAGAAAGCCACGUCUAACUACGUGCCAGCAGCCGCGGUAAUACGUAGGUGGCAAGCGUUGUCCGGAUUUAUUGGGCGUAAAGCGAGCGCAGGCGGUUUCUUAAGUCUGAUGUGAAAGCCCCCGGCUCAACCGGGGAGGGUCAUUGGAAACUGGGGGGCUAGAGUGCAGAAGAGGAGAGUGGAAUUCCAUGUAUAGCGGUAAAAUGCGUAGAUAUAUAGAAGAACACCAGUGGCGAAGGCGGAUCUCUGGUCUGAAACUGACGCUGAGGCUCGAAAGCGUGGGGAGCAAACAGG
This 429-nucleotide ribosomal RNA is filed under the name Gemmatimonadota bacterium. Its description in RNAcentral is "Gemmatimonadetes bacterium partial 16S ribosomal RNA". It matches the Rfam family "Bacterial small subunit ribosomal RNA", at positions 355 to 776 of the family's 1533-position model. Lineage: Bacteria; Pseudomonadati; Gemmatimonadota. The record is from RNAcentral.